GUGUUGCUGAAGAGUCCCAAAUUGGGACGAAAGAGCUGUCCAGUAC
This is a non-coding RNA of Trichobilharzia regenti, 46 nucleotides long. Lineage: Eukaryota; Metazoa; Platyhelminthes; Trematoda; Strigeidida; Schistosomatidae. The record is from Rfam.